This 440-nucleotide ribosomal RNA is filed under the name uncultured bacterium. RNAcentral's name for it is "partial 16S ribosomal RNA". It matches the Rfam family "Bacterial small subunit ribosomal RNA", at positions 338 to 795 of the family's 1533-position model. The record is from RNAcentral.
CCUACGGGAGGCAGCAGUAGGGAAUAUUGCUCAAUGGGGGAAACCCUGAAGCAGCAACGCCGCGUGGAGGAUGAAGGUUUUCGGAUUGUAAACUCCUGUUGUGAGAGAAGAUAAUGACGGUAUCUAAAGAAUAAGCACCGGCUAACUCCGUGCCAGCAGCCGCGGUAAUACGGAGGGUGCAAGCGUUACUCGGAUUCACUGGGCGUAAAGGGGGCGGAGGCGGGAUAGCAAGUCAGAUGUGAAAUCCUAUGGCUUAACCAUAGAACUGCAUUUGAAACUGUGAUUCUAGAGUAUGGGAGAGGUAGGUGGAAUUCUUGGUGUAGGGGUAAAAUCCGUAGAGAUCAAGAGGAAUACUCAUUGCGAAGGCGACCUGCUAGAACAUAACUGACGCUGAUGCGCGAAAGCGUGGGGAGCAAACAGGAUUAGAUACCCCUGUAGUC